Long non-coding RNA from Drosophila obscura, 672 nucleotides. RefSeq lists it as uncharacterized. The transcript is spliced from 2 exons. NCBI's taxonomy places the organism in Eukaryota, Metazoa, Arthropoda, Insecta, Diptera, Drosophilidae. The record is from RefSeq and is a predicted model, not a curated record.
CAGACGAAUAAUUUCAUGAUGUUGAGAUCUGAUAUCCAAUAGAAUCAGAUACACAGACAUACGGAAAACAUUAGCUCAUGCAGUUAUUGGAUUACGUGAUAUAGUCAUCCGAUUUGUCAUCUGUCAUAAACAGGUUCUGUUUUUUUUUAUUUCAAAGUAGGCUAUCCAGUUUAUGGUUACACGAGGACUUGGAAUAUGAUUUUCGAAAACAUUUGAGUACAUCUUACACAUUCGUAGGGAACACACGUGAUACGUUACACUAAACUUGAAUGGCGCCGGCUCGAUGUCCCAAACGACCAACAAAUGCAUAUUUAAUGUGGAUGAACACUUUAGGACGUCGUCGCAUCAAGAUGCUACAUCCCCAAUACAACUUCACCCAAACCGCCAAAAAAGGCAGUGAUCUAUGGGCGAAGAUGUGCGCGUACGAUAAAUCUAUGUGGCAAACAUAUGCGUCCGUGGCAAUGAUUCAAUAUAAAGCAAGGCUGAGCGCUUGGAAGUCCCAACAAGCUCAAAUGAAGUCGUGCACAGUCUCAGGUUGUCCCUCGUCUAAACAAUGAAGCAGCAGCUAUGCAGUCACAGUUCAAUAGAAAUUACAGACUACACUUUUUUAAAGAAAUUUAAUGUUUCGGAUGUUAUAAAUUGAGAAUAUAUACGCACAUACAUAGACAAAAA